RNAcentral lists this ribosomal RNA (253 nucleotides) under uncultured bacterium. RNAcentral describes it as "partial 16S ribosomal RNA". It matches the Rfam family "Bacterial small subunit ribosomal RNA", at positions 524 to 776 of the family's 1533-position model. The record is from RNAcentral.
UACGUAGGGGGCAGGCGUUGUCCGGAAUCAUUGGGCGUAAAGGGCUCGUAGGCGGUUUGUCGCGUCGGGAGUGAAAACCUCGGGCUUAACUCGGGGCUUGCUUUCGAUACGGGCAGACUAGAGGUAUGCAGGGGAGAACGGAAUUCCUGGUGUAGCGGUGAAAUGCGCAGAUAUCAGGAGGAACACCGGUGGCGAAGGCGGUUCUCUGGGCAUGAUCUGACGCUGAGGAGCGAAAGUGUGGGGAGCGAACAGG